This 486-nucleotide ribosomal RNA is filed under the name uncultured bacterium. Its description in RNAcentral is "partial 16S ribosomal RNA". It matches the Rfam family "Bacterial small subunit ribosomal RNA", at positions 29 to 507 of the family's 1533-position model. The record is from RNAcentral.
AUUGAACGCUGGCGGCAUGCUUUACACAUGCAAGUCGAGCGGCAGCGCGGGGGCAACCCUGGCGGCGAGCGGCGAACGGGUGAGUAAUGCAUCGGAACGUAUCCUCGAGUGGGGGAUAACCCAGCGAAAGUUGGGCUAAUACCGCAUGAGCUCCGAGGAGGAAAGCGGGGGACCUGCGAGGGCCUCGCGCUGGAGGAGCGGCCGAUGUCCGAUUAGCUAGUUGGUGGGGUAAAGGCUUACCAAGGCGACGAUCGGUAGCUGGUCUGAGAGGAUGAUCAGCCACACUGGGACUGAGACACGGCCCAGACUCCUACGGGAGGCAGCAGUGGGGAAUUUUGGACAAUGGGGGCAACCCUGAUCCAGCCAUGCCGCGUGAGUGAAGAAGGCCUUCGGGUUGUAAAGCUCUUUCGGACGGAACGAAAUGGGCGGGACUAAUACUCCUGUCUGAUGACGGUACCGUAAGAAGAAGCACCGGCUAACUACGUG